GCUUCCUCUGGGCCAGAGAAGGACAUUUUUGGAAGGGCCUGGAAACUCAGCCUCCUUUCUCAAGGAUCCCACGUUGUCAUCACCACAGUCCUCCCCACAAACUGUCCCUGCCUCACUGCCUGCACCUGUGGGAACCAACCCUUUUUAUGGAUAAUUUUAUCUUCAAAGUGCUUUUGGCUGGUUAAUUGCCUGGUGCGGCCCUGCCAAGGAUGUGGUUCGUCCUGAUGGAGGAAGGCUGAUGUGAGCAGCAUGGGGAAGACUUUGCCAGGCUGUCUUGGCAAGGCACGGCUCUGAGUUAGAGGAGCCUGGGAGAGAAUCCCAGCUCCACCACUUUAAUGCAUCUCUGGGAGCCUUAAAUAAUUUUUUUUUUUUUUUUUUUGAGACAGGGUCUCACCCUGUCACCCAGCCUGGAGUGCAGUAGUGCAAUCAUGGUUCACUGCAACCUUGACAUCCUGGGCUCAAGUGAUCCUCCUGCCUCAGCCUCUCAAGCAGCUGGGACUACAGUCUCACUCUGUUGCCCAGGCUGGAGUGCAGUGGUGUGAUCAUGGCUCACGGCAGCCUUGACCUCCUGGGCCCAAGCCAUCCUCCCACUUCAGGCUCCCAAGUACAGCUUAUUUCAGUGAACUGGCCACAUUUCAAGUUCUCAAUGGCCAUAUGACUCGGGCUACCAUAUUGGAGAGCACAGCUCUAGACCUUUUUGAAACCAGUGCAGGGCAGGCCAGGAUCUUGUGUGAAAUGAGCUGACAGAAGAGACCAACAUGGAGAGCCUCACCCCCACGGACCACAGCAGACACAUCACAGAGUUACCAGGAAUUCCAGAAAGGAAGUCAAGUGAUGAAAGACUGAAGGAUGGGAACCCUGGGAGGACUGCUCCCUAAGGGAAGCUGGGUGGAAAGUUCUCACGGAGUCCAGCCCCGUUCCGCCUGCUCUGCCCUGGGGGUCUCCCAGCCCCUGUCCCUCCGCGAAUUGAGGAGCGGUCCUAAUUGCCAGUUGCCUUAAAGAGUUUGGGGAAACUGAAGACUGGGGUCCUUUAUAGGCAGGUUCUGGAUCAAGAGGGGCGGGGAGAGGCCUUGGAUUUGGAUUCCUGAAAUCCACAGAAAACCCUGCCCUUACACUACUUUAUUUUAAAGGUUUUUUUUUUUUUUUUAAAUUACAAAAGUAAAACAAGCGUGCUGUAAAAAUAGCAUAAACAUAUACAGUGCAUAGGCUGGGCUCGGUGGCUCAUGUCUGUAAUCUCAGCACUUUGGGAGGCCGAGGAAGGUGGAUCACGAGGUCAGGAGUUCAAGACCAACCUGGCCAAGAUGGUGAAACCCUGUCUCUACUAAAAAUACAAAAAUUAGCUGGGCAUGGUGGCAGGCACCUGUAAUCCCAGGUACUCGGGAGGCUGAGGCAGGAGAAUCGCUUGAACCCGGGGGCGGAGGCUGCAGUGAGCCAAGAUCGUGCCACUGCACUGCACUCCAGCCUGGGCGACAGAAUGAUACUCCAUCCCAGGAAACAAACAAACAAACAAAAACCAUAUACAGUGCAUAAAGAAAAAGGCAGAAGUCCUUCUCCAGGUGGCCUCCCUGCCCAAAUCUGCUCCUCAGGGUGGGCCCUGAGGCUGCUGGAGUCUCCUGUGCUGGGAAGCCCUCCACGCUGCCUCCCUCCAGGCCUUUAAUCCAGUCUUGAGGUGCCUGAAUCUCUGUUUUGUACACCUGCACACCUUCUAGUGGGGGUACUUUGCAAACUCCAUGUGAGGACAAGCAGAUGGAAUGGCAAGUGGCAGGUGUGGCCUAAGGUAUCCUCCCAUUGGGCUCCCCCACCCUUGGAAAUUAGGAUCUUAAAUUUUGGUCCUGACCAAGUCCCACUAAAACUUGGCUACUAGGUUGGUUUUCCAAUUCCAGGGCCAAAAGGAAACUGGGAACAAUGCUACCUACUAGCAAAAGAAAAAAACCAAAUUUGUUAGAACAGUGACCCUAACUAGUCAAAGGCAGUGCUUUCACCUAGAGGUAAUAAUAAUAACCACUUCUGGGAGCCCUUAUUGAAGGCCGGGCUUUGCUUUAAGAGUGAGGACUGCUAAUAUUUCUCUUUUCUAGAUGAGGACACUGGUGCUCAGGGAGGUUCACUGCAGGAGGCAGGAGAGUGCAGUGGUGAGGAGCUCAGGCUCUGCGGCCCGACCACCUGGUCAUCCAUCCUGGUUCUGCUGCUUAUCAGCUGUGUGACCUCAGACUUACAUUAUGGAGUCUCUCAUGACUUGGUUUCCUCUCUAGUAAAAUGGGGAUGAUGACAGUGUCUCCCUCCAAGGGGGGUGGUGAUUAAAUGAGUUAUUAUGUGGCUGGGCAUUGUGGCUCAUGCCUGUAAUUGCAGCACUUUGGGAGGCUGCAGCAGGAGGAUCACUUGGGCCAGGAGUUUGAGGUUACAGUGAGCUAUAAUCGCACCACUGUGCUCCAGCCUGGGUGACAGAGUGAGACCUUGUCUCAAAAAAAAAAAAAAAAAAAAAGAGUAUGUGUCAAGUGCCUGGCACAGAAAAGAUGCUCAAUAAAUAUGAGAACUGGGAUUAAAUAAUGGGCCUAAGUCUCAGCUAGUGGCUGAUGGAGAAGGCAUCUGAAUCCCGGUCUGAUGUGGUUGAGGGUCAGGCUUACCCGCUAUGUAGUGCUGUCUCCCUAGAGCCUGCCGGCUCUCAACUCCUCUCCCACCUUCAAGGCCUAGAUCCUCGGGAGUCCCAGCUGUCACUGAUGUGAGGAUGACAUGUGUCUCCUCUGAAGAACCAAUGAUUCCUGGUGAGUCAUGGGAGGCAGAGAAGACUCUUGGACUUUUGGCAGAAGAUGGUUAGCCCUGGGCCUUUCUCCUCGGAGGAAAGCCUGUAAGUCCCUUGCCCUGAUCGGUGCUUGGCAGGGAGGAUGGGGGAUUCCCUAUCUUUCUAGGGAUACCCUAAACUCAAGUACCCUCAUUAUGAUACAGUAUCUGACGCAAGCACAGGGGAAGUGUGGCUGCCUCCUAAGGGUGGAAAUAGCAAUGAGGGAGGCUGUCAAACAUGAUUUGCUGGAGUGGUGAUGUCCAACCUGAGUCUUCAAAGAUGGGGGGAAGUUAUGAAGGGAGGGGAAGGACAUUCUGGGCAGAGGGCACAAUUUGAGCAGAGAGGCUAGACAUGGCAUCUGAGAAGGAUCAAGUCUGAAGAAAGAAGCAGCAAAAGAUGAGGCUGCAGAGGUCAACAGUGGUCAGAAUUUGGAAAUCUUUGUAUAAUCUGCUGAAAUGCUUGGACUUUUUUUGAUCGAAAAUAGAGAGCCAAUGAAGAGUUAUAGAGGAGAUAACAAUGGUAAAGUUUUGUCAGGUGUAAA
Molecule: long non-coding RNA, 3317 nt
Organism: Gorilla gorilla gorilla (western lowland gorilla)
Lineage: Eukaryota; Metazoa; Chordata; Mammalia; Primates; Hominidae
Exons: 4
Source: RefSeq, a predicted model, not a curated record